UACGUAGGGGGCGAGCGUUGUCCGGAUUCAUUGGGCGUAAAGAGCUCGUAGGCGGUUCAGUAAGUCGGGUGUGAAAUCUCCGUGCUCAACACGGAGCGGCCACCUGAUACUGCUGUGACUCGAGUCCGGUAGGGGAGUGUGGAAUUCCCGGUGUAGAGGUGAAAUUCGUAGAUAUCGGGAGGAACACCAGUGGCGAAGGCGGCGAUCUGGGAAGAUACUGACGCUGAGGUGCGAAAGCGUGGGGAGCAAACAGG
Molecule: ribosomal RNA, 254 nt
Filed under: uncultured bacterium
Lineage: Bacteria
Description: partial 16S ribosomal RNA
Rfam family: Bacterial small subunit ribosomal RNA
Source: RNAcentral